GACGUAGGGCGCGAGCGUUGUCCGGAUUUAUUGGGCGUAAAGAGCUCGUAGGCGGCUCGUUGCGUCGGCUGUGAAAACCCGCGGCUCAACUGUGGGCUUGCAGUCGAUACGGGCAGGCUGGAGUUCGGUAGGGGAGACUGGAAUUCCUGGUGUAGCGGUGAAAUGCGCAGAUAUCAGGAGGAACACCGGUGGCGAAGGCGGGUCUCUGGGCCGAUACUGACGCUGAGGAGCGAAAGCGUGGGGAGCGAACAGG
RNAcentral lists this ribosomal RNA (253 nucleotides) under uncultured bacterium. RNAcentral describes it as "partial 16S ribosomal RNA". It matches the Rfam family "Bacterial small subunit ribosomal RNA", at positions 524 to 776 of the family's 1533-position model. The record is from RNAcentral.